GACGAACGCUGGCGGCGUGCUUAACACAUGCAAGUCGAACGGGCCUUGUCCCCUUUUUUUUGGGGGUGGGGUUAGUGGCGAACGGGUGAGUAACACGUGAGUAACCUGCCCCUCACUUCUGGAUAACCGCUUGAAAGGGUGGCUAAUACGGGGUGUUCUGGCCUGCUCGCAUGGGUGGGUUUGGAAAGAUUCGACCGGUUUUGGUUGUUUUGGUUGGGGAUGGGCUCGCGGCCUAUCAGCUUGUUGGUGGGGUGAUGGCCUGCCAAGGCUUUGACGGGUAGCCGGCCUGAGAGGGUGGGCGGUCACACUGGGACUGAGACACGGCCCAGACUCCUACGGGAGGCAGCAGUGGGGAAUAUUGCACAAUGGGCGCAAGACUGAUGCAGCGACGCCGCGUGAGGGAUGGAGGCCUUCGGGUUGUGAACCUCUUUCGCCAGUGAAGAAGGUCCUGCUCUUUGUGGUGGGGUUGACGGUAGCUGGGUUAAUGAAGCGCCGGCUAACUACGUG
Molecule: ribosomal RNA, 507 nt
Filed under: uncultured bacterium
Lineage: Bacteria
Description: partial 16S ribosomal RNA
Rfam family: Bacterial small subunit ribosomal RNA
Source: RNAcentral